UACGUAGGGGGCAAGCGUUGUCCGGAUUUACUGGGCGUAAAGAGCGUGUAGGCGGCCAAACAGGUCCGUUGUGAAAACUGGAGGCUCAACCUCCAGACGUCGACGGAAACCGUAUGGCUAGAGUCCGGAAGAGGAGAGUGGAAUUCCUGGUGUAGCGGUGAAAUGCGCAGAUAUCAGGAAGAACACCUAUGGCGAAGGCAGCUCUCUGGGACGGUACUGACACUGAGGCACGAAGGCCAGGGGAGCAAACGGG
RNAcentral lists this ribosomal RNA (253 nucleotides) under uncultured bacterium. Its description in RNAcentral is "partial 16S ribosomal RNA". It matches the Rfam family "Bacterial small subunit ribosomal RNA", at positions 524 to 776 of the family's 1533-position model. The record is from RNAcentral.